RNAcentral lists this ribosomal RNA (253 nucleotides) under uncultured bacterium. Its description in RNAcentral is "partial 16S ribosomal RNA". It matches the Rfam family "Bacterial small subunit ribosomal RNA", at positions 524 to 776 of the family's 1533-position model. The record is from RNAcentral.
UACGAAGGGGGCUAGCGUUGCUCGGAAUCACUGGGCGUAAAGGGUGCGUAGGCGGGUUUUUAAGUCAGGGGUGAAAUCCUGGAGCUCAACUCCAGAACUGCCUUUGACACUGAAGAUCUUGAGUCCGGGAGAGGUGAGUGGAACUGCGAGUGUAGAGGUGAAAUUCGUAGAUAUUGGGAAGAACACCAGUGGCGAAGGCGGCUAUCUGGACCGUAACUGACGCUGAGGCGCGAAAGCGUGGGGAGCAAACAGG